Phascolarctos cinereus (koala) is the source of this 742-nucleotide non-coding RNA. Lineage: Eukaryota; Metazoa; Chordata; Mammalia; Diprotodontia; Phascolarctidae. The record is from RefSeq and is a predicted model, not a curated record.
ACUGUAACCCUCCAGCUGAAGAAAGUACUGCAAUACUAUCCAGCUAAGACAGUAGAUACAAGUACAAAAGACAAUAGCAAUCCUAUAAGGAACAAGCCCCGUUAAGCUACUUGUCCCUGAGAGGAGCCAAACUAGCUGAGCAUCAGAAGAACUCAUUCAUCACCUAUGCUUCUCUCCACAGCAAGUUUUGUGAAGACACUUUAGAGAGAGAAAGGACGUGGAGGUCUGGCAGUUCUAAAGUGGUGGUUUGACAUUCCCACCAUUACAGCCACUAGUAGAUUGGACUAUAGGAAGAAUCACAAGAUCUCAGGACUGAAAGGAACCUCAGAGGCACCUGAAAAAAACUAUCUUCUCUACAACAUAGCCAAUAAGGAGUCAUCUGAUCUUUUCCUAAACACUUCUAGUAAAUGAAAACUUAAUACCUUGUGAAAGAUUCUGUUCUACUUUUCUCUUUCUCUAUUUGUAUUUGCACAAAGCCUAAAUCUAGUCCUUUGUAAUAUCAUUAUUAUCUCCCAAAUGCUCCUAAUUCUACCCUCUUGGGCCAAAUGGAACAAGUUUAAUCACAUCUCCACUUGACAACCUUUCAGAUACUUGAAGACAAUGGGCCUGUUCCUCUCAAGCCAUCUCUUCUUCAAGCAAAGCAUCCCCAAGUUCUUCAAAUGAUAUGAGCUCCAGAACCCUCAGCAAUCUGCUCACCCUUCUCUAGAUGCUUCUAGUUUAUCAAUAUUCUUCCUAUAAUGUG